Molecule: long non-coding RNA, 225 nt
Filed under: Capsicum annuum
Lineage: Eukaryota; Viridiplantae; Streptophyta; Magnoliopsida; Solanales; Solanaceae
Description: long non-coding RNA (CANN_LNC012303)
Source: RNAcentral
GUGAAUUAAAGUGAUUCUAAUCUUGAUAACAUGGAUGAAAGUGAUUCUGACCUUGAUGGUUGGUAGUUUUAUAGAGGAUUCAAGUUUGAAAUAUUUUAUUUUGGACCAUUUAAGAAUCAUACAUUAUUGAUGUAGAUGUUUUGAAAUAUAUUUCUUAUUAGCUGUAAUGAUUUACAUUAGACUUGUAUUGAAUGAUGUUUUUGAGACUUAUUGAAGGUUUUGAAU